RNAcentral lists this ribosomal RNA (316 nucleotides) under uncultured bacterium. RNAcentral's name for it is "bacterial SSU rRNA". It matches the Rfam family "Bacterial small subunit ribosomal RNA", at positions 29 to 329 of the family's 1533-position model. The record is from RNAcentral.
AGCGAACGCUGGCGGCGUGCUUAACACAUGCAAGUCGAGCGAGAAAGUCCCGCAAGGGAUGAGUACAGCGGCGAACGGGUGCGUAAUACGCGGGCAAUCUGUCCUUGAGGUGGGAAUAACCCAGCGAAAGUUGGGCUAAUACCGGAUAAGACCACGGGAGGAAACUUCUGAGGUCAAAGGCAGCCUUCUUUUGGAGGCAGUCCUUCGAGGAGGAGCCACGUCCUAUCAGCAGUUGGUAGGGUAACGGCCUACCAAGGCAAAGAACGGGUAGGCUGGUCUAAGAGGAUGAUCAGCCACACGGGGACGUGAGACACGG